GAUGUUAAACACUUGUGGUACUUUUUUUAUUCUGAUAGUGAAAGGAACCACAUAGUUACACUCUCACAGAUCAUGUUAAACACACCUGAAAACCUUCCUUGUGCAGUCUCCAUGAUCUCGGCCGCUCUACACAAGCCACCAGCAACUGCAUGGUGGCCAUGCUAAGCACAUCCUGUUAUGCUGGAAAUAUCCACAGCCUUCCUCAUCCCUGGCGCAUGUUCAUUCUUUGUGGCACAGAGAUACCCUUGUCACUGAACACGAACUGCCUCGUGAGUUAUUAAAUCUGGUGUUUAAGCAAUGUGCGGAAUAUCUUCACACACUUAUCUUGAAGAUCUCACAGGAACUAAAUGUACCACUCCACAAAGAGAGAGAGCUUUACAGAUGAUGCAAGCAUAUUUAAACAAUUUGCAUUGUAGUUAUAUGUUUUAUUCUGAGGAAUACCGUCAGACUUGAACAUUGACUCUAAAAAGAUCACAGCACACUUGUGAAACCUCCCAGCCUUCCUCCCUGAGUCACUUCAAGCGCUUUUGUGGGAAUCAUCACAUCCUUCCUUUGCCCUUGAGCACAAGCUGCUUCAGGAGUUAUUGAAUCCAACUGAAUAUAUCUCUAAAUAAACUUUCAAAAAGAUCACUGCACAGUAGUUUGCCUCAGUUUUGCGAUGCUUACCACCUCAAUUGAACACAGGCCGUAAAAAGAUUGCGACACGUUUGUGAAACCUCCCAGGCUUCCUUCCUGAGACACUUAUGCGCUCUUUUGUGGGAAACACCACAUCCUUCCCUUGUCCUCCAACACAAGCUGCUUCAGGAGAUAUUAAAUCCAAUUGAAUGUGUCUUUAAAUAAACUUUCAAAAUGGUUGCUGCACAGUACUUUGCUUCAAGCUGUGUCAUAAAUAAAUCAUCAAACAAUUUGCUGGGAUGACUUUCACAAAUUGAAUAUACACCUGCACUGUAGGCAGUUUUAAUUACAACUACAGAUCGACACUUCUAUGGAAUAUUUCCAUGUAUAAACAAAUUAGAUAAAGUGUUUGAAGCCUCAGUACAUUUGCAAAAGAUCGAAACUGGACUGAAAUAUUUGUGUGCAUAAACAAAUUGGGUAAAUUAUUUGACCUCUCAGUAUAUUUGCAAAUGUUUCUUUAAACAAUUUGUUUAAAAUACACUCACACACAAAAUACUGCACUGUCUUCACAGAUGCACAUGGAACAGAAAUAAUGUGUGUAAAAAAAGGAAUGCAAUUACAUUCGAAAAUACAUCAUGCAGGAAUAUUGUUUAUACAUUGAAACUAAGAUAAAUAAGCGCAAAUACACCAUGUGAAAACUUUGGAGAUGAUCCUACAUCAUGUAAAAAUUUUUGUUAAAUACAUUAUCAAAGUAGUUUGCUACAUGUGGCAUGGUUGUAACCCAGGACUCGCGAAGUGGCAUGUCUGUCAGCAGUUGCAGCUCGCCAUAGAGUGAACUGGCGACUGGUAGCGGGGACACUACAACUGCAUCAAUGAGUGCAUCCAGCAUGAAGAACAGAUCGGUGGAACGAGUUGGUAUUUCCAGAACCCCACAUGCAAAAGUGCAUGGAAUCUGUGGCUGUAAGACCAGCAUCAAUUUGUUCUGCAUGCUCAGACAAGCAUUCAUCUCAUCAGCAGGUAGGGGGGGGGAUGAUGAACUCCUAUUGGCUCCUGAAAAUAUUGUUCUGGGCUUUCCAUCAACCGCGCUUCCUAACUGGUUCCUGCCCUACCCCUUCCACACCCAGUCUCAUUUUGCCAGUGUCAGUUGGCCAGUGUGGUUGCUCCUUAGUUGUGUGUGUCAGUUUGUUGAAAAUGAAGCGUUCAGCAACAUCGACUACCAUCAUUGUGGGCAGAAAACGACAUAGAAUUGUAGAAGAAGAAGAUGAUGAAGAAGAAGAAGAAUAUGGAUUGCCACAUAUGUAAAUAAUUUUGUUUGUUUGUAAAUAUGUGGUUAUUGUGUAGAAAUCAGGAAAAAAAAUUAGUGUGUUAAAAAAUUCUCAUCGGUAAUUCAGUUUCGUUUCCUUGUUUUACAAUGCAACUCCAGGAUUUUAUCCUAGAUUGCAAGGGGCAGAUAGGAGGAGGAAGAGGGCGCUAGGCCACAGGAAACUCUCCCUGUUGAGGUCCAGCCUCCUUUGGAAAGCCUGCAACUAGAACUGCUAUCUCACAUGGUGAAAAUGCUGCUUGAGCUGGAGGCAAUGCUGGAAGCUGACAAAAUACGCCACCCACACGCUGUUGAACAGCCUCCAGCAGCAAAUACACAGCACCAACAGUCAAAUAAGUAUUAAAAAAAAGAGAUAUUUGUGUAGUAGUAGCUCUGUAAUUAAAUGUUUCGUCUUGCUGCAGCAACAAUUCUAGUGGGAUUAGACCUCCUAGACAGGCAGCUGGAGGCUGUUCACCAACUGCAGCAGCAGUCUCCAGCACCCAGUGAGACAGCAGAGCAGUUUUGUGAGAUGGAUCGGAGGCACCAUAUUAACCCUGACAAGGAUGAGAAACCUGAAAGGGUCAGGGAAAUGGCUCUAGACGAAGAGCUGCAAAGGCAGGGUGACGUGGCCCUUUUAGAGGAGGAUAGCUUCCCUGAAGGGGUGGUAGAGAUACCUGAUAAUGCCAAUGAAAUGUUCAUGCUAUGGACCCUGAGCGUGAAAUGUAAUUAUUAACUCUACUUAUGUAACAAUGCAGUCUGUAUUCUUUCUUUUAUUUCUUACAGCAGCAGCAAGCAAUUUGUGGAACAUUGUACUUAAUUUUUUUCGUUAUUCUAUCUCUUCUACACUGGCUACAUCUGCACAGCUGCAGCAGAGCGUGAUGUAGGUAGCAGUGGGGGCUAAACCUACCUAAUCAAAGUGGCAUCUGGUGAACCAUGCUGCACUGGCAAAAACACAGCUAGUCGCCGUGUGAGAGGCCACAGCCAACACCUUGUCUGCCACAAUCAUCCCAGCACCGCAUCUGUGGAUUUAACAAUAAGCUACCACCUGUCAGGUUAGUGGGUCAGGCCUACAGCAGCAUCAGCAUUGAAGCUGUUGGUACAGCCAGGCUGUUCCCACUGGCCUGACCCAAUAGAUCCUCCUCAGUCAUGGCGGCCAGUGUGCCUGAGCGGUUCUAGGCGCUACAGUCUGGAACCGUGUGACUGCCACGUUCGCAGGUUCAAAUCCUGCCUCGGGUAUGGAUGUGUGUGAUGUCCUUAGGUUAGUUAGGUUUAAGUAGUUCUAAGUUCUAGGGGACUGAUGACCUCAGAAGUUAAGUCCCAUAGUGCUCAGAGCCAUUUUUUUAAGAACUUGGUUGUUGUGGAGAUGGUGAACACUACAGCAGAGUUUACAAAACCUAUUUAUGUGGGGAUAUGCAUACAAGACCUAUCAUAGAACUUAGAACUACUUAAACUUAACUAACCUAAGGACAUCACACAUGCAUGCCCGAGGCAGGAUUCGAACCUGCAACAAUAGCAGCAACGCAGUUCCGGACUGAAGCACCUGGAACCGCUCGGCCACUCCGGCCGGCCAAGACCUAUCCAAACUCCACAUGUACCACUUUCAUUCUGAGUUGGCGAAAAUCAUUUUGCAGAUCCUAAAUUACUGUAUAUGGAUACAGACAGCUUCAUCUGUUGGGUGAAGAAUUGUUAUCCAUAUGAAGUAAUGAGGUACCACAGUGAUGAAUUCGAUGUGUCCUCAUACAUGUCCAAUAAUCGUUGUGGCAUUCUUCCACAGAACAAGCUUAUCAGCUGUAUAAAAGACGAGGAGAAUGGAUAGCAAAUUGUGGAGUUUGUAGGUCUGUGAUAAAAAAAUGUAAGCAAAUCGCACAUUGGAAGGUGCCACCUAGAGGUGGGCUAAGGGUGUGCAUCACAUGGCAUCGUGUACCCUCUCUGUCGAAGACUAUUUGCAGUGCCUGUACAUCAGUGUCUGCAGUGCAUGUGAUAAGACAAACUAGUAUUCUAUCGAGAGGACAUGGAGUGUACACUGUGCUGCAGACUAAAAUCGGCCUGUUGCCUCAUAUUGAUAAAAGGGUCAUUUGUGAUGGGAUUGAAACUCACCCAUAAUCACACUACUUGCUUCUCACUUGUAGCGAGAGAAGGGAUGGGGGAGCGGUUCUGAUUGAGUGAAAGAGAGAAAGAGUGAGAGAGAGAGCGAGUCUGCAGAGUAGUAGUGUGACCCCUUUAUCAUAAUGUAAGUGGUUGUGUGUGUGUGUGUGUGUGUGUGUGUGUGUAUG
Molecule: long non-coding RNA, 4188 nt
Organism: Schistocerca cancellata (South American locust)
Lineage: Eukaryota; Metazoa; Arthropoda; Insecta; Orthoptera; Acrididae
Exons: 3
Source: RefSeq, a predicted model, not a curated record